Molecule: long non-coding RNA, 274 nt
Organism: Camelina sativa (false flax)
Lineage: Eukaryota; Viridiplantae; Streptophyta; Magnoliopsida; Brassicales; Brassicaceae
Source: RefSeq, a predicted model, not a curated record
UCAAACGCCGCUCGUCAGAAAAUUCAAUGCUGGAACCAACAAGGCUGCAUCAAGUGGCACAUCUCUCAACACCCAAAAGGCUUGAUGAUGACACUGAGAACCUUACUCAUGAACGUGUGCCAACUGAGCUAAAGAAAGCCAUUAUGCAAGCUCGAACAGAUAAAAGCUUACCCAGUCCCAACUUGCUAAGGUUUUUUAUUCUUCUCUCUUGUUAAUGCUCUAUCAACUGAGCUAACCCAGUAAUCUCCGGGCUUGUUCAUGCUCUUAAGGUGAG